UUUUCUCACUCGUUCUUGCAUCUUUCUCUGUCACACUUUAUCUUUCUCCAUCUCUCUUCCUCUUUCGUCCGCUAACUGUCAAUCUCUAGCACCACUUGAAGGUGACGUGUACUAUCUGGUAUUGAGGCCUUUAUUAGACAUUUAUUUCAGUUUGUGUGGUGUUUGUUCAAUGCUACUGAGAUGGAAAAAUGCUCGUCUCAUAAUAAUAUUAUUAUUAUUGCUUUGGCAUUAUGGUAAAAAAAAAAAGAGAAACGUGUUGUUGAAUGUUGUACAGAUAGCACUAGAAAUGUUGUGGUCUUUUGUUUUUAAUGAGAGCACAAACCCGAGCGAUGGUCCUUUCUACUCCUCCCUCUAGCAGAUGGGAAUAAAGCAAAAUGCCAAUCAUUUUUGUCGUCCAAUGACAAAUUACUUUGUUGAUGACAGAUUU
Thalassophryne amazonica is the source of this 427-nucleotide long non-coding RNA. RefSeq lists it as uncharacterized. The transcript is spliced from 3 exons. Lineage: Eukaryota; Metazoa; Chordata; Actinopteri; Batrachoidiformes; Batrachoididae. The record is from RefSeq and is a predicted model, not a curated record.